ACGGCGGUGUUUGGCACCUCGAUGUCGGCUCAUCACAUCCUGGGGCUGAAGUAGGUCCCAAGGGUAUGGCUGUUCGCCAUUUAAAGUGGUACGCGAGCUGGGUUUAGAACGUCGUGAGACAGUUCGGUCCCUAUCUGCCGUGGGCGCUGGAGAACUGAGGGGGGCUGCUCCUAGUACGAGAGGACCGGAGUGGACGCAUCACUGGUGUUCGGGUUGUCAUGCCAAUGGCACUGCCCGGUAGCUAAAUGCGGAAGAGAUAAGUGCUGAAAGCAUCUAAGCACGAAACUUGCCCCGAGAUGAGUUCUCCCUGACUCCUUGAGAGUCCUGAAGGAACGUUGAAGACGACGACGUUGAUAGGCCGGAUGUGUAAGCGCAGCGAUGCGUUGAGCUAACCGGUACUAAUGAACCGUGAGGCUUAACCUUACAACGCCGAAGCUGUU
Molecule: ribosomal RNA, 440 nt
Filed under: Escherichia coli
Lineage: Bacteria; Pseudomonadati; Pseudomonadota; Gammaproteobacteria; Enterobacterales; Enterobacteriaceae
Description: partial 23S ribosomal RNA
Rfam family: Bacterial large subunit ribosomal RNA
Source: RNAcentral